AUUGUGUUCCUUUCUUACCAAUUACUGCUAACGAAUGCUCUGACUUUAUUGCACUACUGUACUUUACAGCUAGCAGUGCAAUAGUAUUGUCAAAGCAUCUGAGAGCAGGAUGCACACCAGAA
Molecule: microRNA precursor, 122 nt
Organism: Sorex araneus (European shrew)
Lineage: Eukaryota; Metazoa; Chordata; Mammalia; Eulipotyphla; Soricidae
Product: microRNA 301a
Source: Ensembl